UGGACGAAGUCUGACGGAGCACGCCGCGUGAACGAUGAAGGCUUUCGGGUCGUAAAGUUCUGUUGUCAGGGAAGAACAAGUACCGGAGUAACUGCCGGUACCUUGACGGUACCUGACCAGAAAGCCACGGCUAACUACGUGCCAGCAGCCGCGGUAAUACGUAGGUGGCAAGCGUUGUCCGGAAUUAUUGGGCGUAAAGCGCGCGCAGGCGGUUCCUUAAGUCUGAUGUGAAAGCCCCCGGCUCAACCGGGGAGGGUCAUUGGAAACUGGGGAACUUGAGUGCAGAAGAGGAGAGCGGAAUUCCACGUGUAGCGGUGAAAUGCGUAGAGAUGUGGAGGAACACCAGUGGCGAAGGCGGCUCUCUGGUCUGUAACUGACGCUGAGGCGCGAAAGCGUGGGGAGCGAACAGGAUUAGAUACCCUGGUAGUCCACGCCGUAAACGAUGAGUGCUAAGUGUUAGAGGGUUUCCGCCCUUUAGUGCUGCAGCAAACGCAUUAAGCACUCCGCCUGGGGAGUACGGCCGCAAGGCUGAAACUCAAAGGAAUUGACGGGGGCCCGCACAAGCGGUGGAGCAUGUGGUUUAAUUCGAAGCAACGCGAAGAACCUUACCAGGUCUUGACAUCCUCUGACAACCCUAGAGAUAGGGCGUUCCCCUUCGGGGGACAGAGUGACAGGUGGUGCAUGGUUGUCGUCAGCUCGUGUCGUGAGAUGUUGGGUUAAGUCCCGCAACGAGCGCAACCCUUGAUCUUAGUUGCCAGCAUUCAGUUGGGCACUCUAAGGUGACUGCCGGGUGACAAACCGGAGAAGGUGGGGAUGACGUCAAA
RNAcentral lists this ribosomal RNA (824 nucleotides) under uncultured Bacillus sp. Its description in RNAcentral is "bacterial SSU rRNA". It matches the Rfam family "Bacterial small subunit ribosomal RNA", at positions 372 to 1189 of the family's 1533-position model. Lineage: Bacteria; Bacillati; Bacillota; Bacilli; Caryophanales; Bacillaceae. The record is from RNAcentral.